RNAcentral lists this ribosomal RNA (445 nucleotides) under uncultured bacterium. Its description in RNAcentral is "partial 16S ribosomal RNA". It matches the Rfam family "Bacterial small subunit ribosomal RNA", at positions 354 to 796 of the family's 1533-position model. The record is from RNAcentral.
GUAAGGAAUAUUGGUCAAUGGGCGGAAGCCUGAACCAGCCAUGCCGCGUGCAGGACGACGGCCCUACGGGUUGUAAACUGCUUUUGCCCGGGAAUAACCCCCCGCUCUUGAGCGGGGCUGAACGUACCGGGAGAAUAAGGAUCGGCUAACUCCGUGCCAGCAGCCGCGGUAAUACGGAGGAUCCGAGCGUUAUCCGGAUUUAUUGGGUUUAAAGGGUGCGUAGGCGGCCCGUUAAGUCAGGGGUGAAAUACGGCAGCUCAACUGUCGCAGUGCCCUUGAGACUGACGGGCUUGAAUACCGGUGAAGGCGGCGGAAUGAGACAAGUAGCGGUGAAAUGCAUAGAUAUGUCUCAGAACCCCGAUUGCGAAGGCAGCUGCCUAACCGGCGAUUGACGCUGAUGCACGAAAGCGUGGGGAUCGAACAGGAUUAGAAACCCGAGUAGUCC